UUAACACAUGCAAGUCGAGGGGCAGCAUGGUCUUAGCUUGCUAAGGCCGAUGGCGACCGGCGCACGGGUGAGUAACACGUAUCCAACCUGCCGUCUACUCUUGGACAGCCUUCUGAAAGGAAGAUUAAUACAAGAUGGCAUCAUGAGUCCGCAUGUUCACAUGAUUAAAGGUAUUCCGGUAGACGAUGGGGAUGCGUUCCAUUAGAUAGUAGGCGGGGUAACGGCCCACCUAGUCUUCGAUGGAUAGGGGUUCUGAGAGGAAGGUCCCCCACAUUGGAACUGAGACACGGUCCAAACUCCUACGGGAGGCAGCAGUGAGGAAUAUUGGUCAAUGGGCGAGAGCCUGAACCAGCCAAGUAGCGUGAAGGAUGACUGCCCUAUGGGUUGUAAACUUCUUUUAUAAAGGAAUAAAGUCGGGUAUGGAUACCCGUUUGCAUGUACUUUAUGAAUAAGGAUCGGCUAACUCCGUGCCAGCAGCCGCGGUAAUACGGAGGAUCCGAGCGUUAUCCGGAUUUAUUGGGUUUAAAGGGAGCGUAGAUGGACGUUUAAGUCAGUUGUGAAAGUUUGCGGCUCAACCGUAAAAUUGCAGUUGAUACUGGAUAUCUUGAGUGCAGUUGAGGCAGGCGGAAUUCGUGGUGUAGCGGUGAAAUGCUUAGAUAUCACGAAGAACUCCGAUUGCGAAGGCAGCCUGCUAAGCUGCAACUGACAU
This 709-nucleotide ribosomal RNA is filed under the name uncultured Bacteroidales bacterium. RNAcentral describes it as "bacterial SSU rRNA". It matches the Rfam family "Bacterial small subunit ribosomal RNA", at positions 48 to 746 of the family's 1533-position model. The record is from RNAcentral. Lineage: Bacteria; Pseudomonadati; Bacteroidota; Bacteroidia; Bacteroidales.